RNAcentral lists this ribosomal RNA (253 nucleotides) under uncultured bacterium. RNAcentral's name for it is "partial 16S ribosomal RNA". It matches the Rfam family "Bacterial small subunit ribosomal RNA", at positions 524 to 776 of the family's 1533-position model. The record is from RNAcentral.
UACGUAGGGUGCAAGCGUUGUCCGGAAUUAUUGGGCGUAAAGAGCUCGUAGGCGGUUUGUCGCGUCUGCUGUGAAAACUCGGGGCUUAACUCCGGGCCUGCAGUGGAUACUGCCGGGCUAGAGUCCGGAAGAGGCGAGUGGAACUCCUGGUGUAGCGGUGGAAUGCGCAGAUAUCAGGAAGAACACCAACGGCGAAGGCAGCUCGCUAGGACGGUACUGACGCUGAGACGCGAAAGCGUGGGGAGCGAACAGG